Long non-coding RNA from Homo sapiens (human), 355 nucleotides. RefSeq lists it as uncharacterized. The transcript has 2 exons. NCBI's taxonomy places the organism in Eukaryota, Metazoa, Chordata, Mammalia, Primates, Hominidae. The record is from RefSeq and is a predicted model, not a curated record.
CCAUGUGGCUCACAAAAGAGUCUGGGGUGAGAGGAGGGAGAAAGUUGCCCACAGCAUGGCCUGAGGUGACCAGGCCGCCUCGGGGGUGAGGGAACACUAAGGACACGAGGAUCAUUUCCGCGGGCAUGGAUGGCACUGUGGCCUUGGAAAGCGGGUCUGCCCCUCCCUCCCCCAUCGGUUCCCACGGCUCUCCGCAGCUGGGUCUUCCCUGGCAGGCACGAAAGGUCGUUGGCACGCACACCCUCCCGGACAUACCGAAGUCAAUGUCGAGGAGGGCGGCGUUGGCACCCUCCACCAGGAUCUUCUUGGGGGGGCCGUGGAGUGCCUCAUACAUAAAGUAAACACCAUCUCGGAC